Long non-coding RNA from Etheostoma spectabile (orangethroat darter), 105 nucleotides. RefSeq lists it as uncharacterized. The transcript is spliced from 3 exons. Lineage: Eukaryota; Metazoa; Chordata; Actinopteri; Perciformes; Percidae. The record is from RefSeq and is a predicted model, not a curated record.
AGACUUUGUUUUGGCCAAACAUAUUUGGGAACUUGUGGCCAAUUUUGACAGCCCUACUUAGUACGAAGUGUGUCAUAAUGUUUUGGUGCCCAUAUGAGGCGGGUG